This is a long non-coding RNA of Gallus gallus (chicken), 1025 nucleotides long. The record is from Ensembl. NCBI's taxonomy places the organism in Eukaryota, Metazoa, Chordata, Aves, Galliformes, Phasianidae.
GUGAGUACAGCCUUCAUGGAAACAAUUGCUCAUGUGCGCCGUACAUGAGCUAUGGCAUAAAGUGAGUGAAUCAGAUUUUGCCUUGCCAUAUUAUACUUCACCGAGAAGCAUUGCAUGCUACAAAAUGUGGCCUUGGAGGAAACAGAGUACAUUGGUUCAUCGUAACAGAGCAGCUGGGGCGUGCAAUGAGAAGCAAAACGAAUUAGAAAGUUCUGCUAAGGACCAAGAGUGGCUCUGGCUCCUGCUGUCUGUCGCCUCCAGGAAGAGUAUCUCCAUGCUCUGCAAGAUGAUUUAGGAUGCAGUAUUUGCUAUGGUCCCAUUUUACAGGCACAGAAUUAAGCAAAACUGAGACCAGUCCCUAAGGAGGAUACAGCUGCAAGAAACUGAAUAGCACAUCAGUGAUGUUAGUCUUUCUCAGCUGAGCUGGAGUUUCUUUGAAAAUGCCCACAUCUGAAAUCUGAAAUCUCUUCCCACCUGCCUCCAAGAGAGGACUCUGCUUUUGAACACAGACUGUCCCAUCCCUUCCAAUGCAGUGUGUGCACGGCAGUCACUCUGAUAGAGAGGAAUGCUGGAUGCCUUUCUUCUCAGCUUCAGUCACUGCUGGGUUUGAAGCUACUACAGGAAUGAUACGAAGUGAUGCUGCUGAUGUUCUUGUUCUCUUACUAUAGUGCAGAUCUUAGCAAGCUGCCUGCAUUGCCAUUCUCACAUGGCCUCGAUGAGGAGCUGGAUACUCCUUUCUGUUUUAAAAUUUCAACUUUGAUUAACUUUAAACAUACUUGAACUGAGAUGCUUGUGUGGGUUCUCAAUAACAUAACGUGUUAUUGACAACUGCCCACAGGAGACCUGCUUCAAGAGCUCCUGUCUCUGGAUGAUUUGUGCAUCACUUAUAGGGAGCUCCAGGUGAAUAAAUCCUGACAUUAAAUGCUUUGUCUUGGUGAAUGUGAUUUACUGUGAAGCUUCCAUAGUGGCUGAGGAAAUGCUUUACCUUUUCAGUCUCUUCUAAGGCCGUGAAAGCAACUUAAAAG